RNAcentral lists this ribosomal RNA (253 nucleotides) under uncultured bacterium. RNAcentral describes it as "partial 16S ribosomal RNA". It matches the Rfam family "Bacterial small subunit ribosomal RNA", at positions 524 to 776 of the family's 1533-position model. The record is from RNAcentral.
UACAGAGGGUGCAAGCGUUAAUCGGAAUUACUGGGCGUAAAGCGUGCGCAGGCGGUUUUGUAAGUCUGACGUGAAAUCCCCGGGCUCAACCUGGGAAUUGCGUUGGAGACUGCAAGGCUUGAAUCUGGCAGAGGGGGGUAGAAUUCCACGUGUAGCAGUGAAAUGCGUAGAGAUGUGGAGGAACACCGAUGGCGAAGGCAGCCCCCUGGGUCAAGAUUGACGCUCAUGCACGAAAGCGUGGGGAGCAAACAGG